Molecule: ribosomal RNA, 465 nt
Filed under: Listeria monocytogenes
Lineage: Bacteria; Bacillati; Bacillota; Bacilli; Caryophanales; Listeriaceae
Description: bacterial SSU rRNA
Rfam family: Bacterial small subunit ribosomal RNA
Source: RNAcentral
UUUAAAGAGAGUUUGAUCCUGGCUCAGGACGAACGCUGGCGGCGUGCCUAAUACAUGCAAGUCGAACGAACGGAGGAAGAGCUUGCUCUUCCAAUGUUAGUGGCGGACGGGUGAGUAACACGUGGGCAACCUGCCUGUAAGUUGGGGAUAACUCCGGGAAACCGGGGCUAAUACCGAAUGAUAAGAUGUGGCGCAUGCCACGCCUUUGAAAGAUGGUUUCGGCUAUCGCUUACAGAUGGGCCCGCGGUGCAUUAGCUAGUUGGUAGGGUAAUGGCCUACCAAGGCAACGAUGCAUAGCCGACCUGAGAGGGUGAUCGGCCACACUGGGACUGAGACACGGCCCAGACUCCUACGGGAGGCAGCAGUAGGGAAUCUUCCGCAAUGGACGAAAGUCUGACGGAGCAACGCCGCGUGUAUGAAGAAGGUUUUCGGAUCGUAAAGUACUGUUGUUAGAGAAGAACAAGG